This 484-nucleotide ribosomal RNA is filed under the name uncultured bacterium. RNAcentral describes it as "partial 16S ribosomal RNA". It matches the Rfam family "Bacterial small subunit ribosomal RNA", at positions 30 to 507 of the family's 1533-position model. The record is from RNAcentral.
AUCGAACGCUGGCGGCAGGCCUAACACAUGCAAGUCGAGCGGAUGAAGGGAGCUUGCUCCUGGAUUCAGCGGCGGACGGGUGAGUAAUGCAUAGGAAUCUGCCUGGUAGUGCGGGAUAACGUCUGGAAACGGGCGCUAAUACUGCAUACGUCCAGAGGGAGAAAGUGGGGGAGCUUCGGACCUCUCGCUCUCAGAUGAGCCUAGGUCGGAUUAGCUAGUUGGUGGGGUGAAGGCCUACCAAGGCGACGAUCCGUAGCUGGCCUGAGAGGAUGAUCAGUCACACUGGAACUGAGACACGGUCCAGACUCCUACGGGAGGCAGCAGUGGGGAAUAUUGGACAGUGGGCGAAAGCCUGAUCCAGCCAUGCCGCGUGUGUGAAGAAGGUCUUCGGAUUGUAAAGCACUUUAAGUGGGGAGGAAGGGCAGUAAGUUAAUACCUUGCUGUUGUGACGUUACCAACAGAAUAAGCACCGGCUAACUUCGUG